Molecule: ribosomal RNA, 420 nt
Filed under: uncultured cyanobacterium
Lineage: Bacteria; Bacillati; Cyanobacteriota
Description: bacterial SSU rRNA
Rfam family: Bacterial small subunit ribosomal RNA
Source: RNAcentral
CGAGAGCCUGACGGAGCAAUACCGCGUGAGGGAGGAAGGCCUUUGGGUUGUAAACCUCUUUUCUCAGGGAAGAAGUUCUGACGGUACCUGAGGAAUAAGCAUCGGCUAACUCCGUGCCAGCAGCCGCGGUAAUACGGAGGAUGCAAGCGUUAUCCGGAGUUAUUGGGCGUAAAGCGUCCGCAGGUGGUCUUUCAAGUCUGCUGUUAAAGACCAGAGCUUAACUCUGGGCAGGCGGUGGAAACUGGAAGACUAGAGUUCGGUAGGGGUAGCGGGAAUUCCCAGUGUAGCGGUGAAAUGCGUAGAUAUUGGGAAGAACAUCGGUGGCGAAGGCGCGCUACUGGACCGAAACUGACACUCAGGGACGAAAGCUAGGGUAGCGAAAGGGAUUAGAUACCCCUGUAGUCCUAGCUGUAAACGAUG